AGACCUCAGGUCAGGCGGGGCUACCCGCUGAAUUUAAGCAUAUCAAUAAGCGGAGGAAAAGAAACUAACUAGGAUUCCCUUAGUAACGGCGAGCGAACCGGGAAGAGCCCACCAUGAGAAUCGGUCGCCCUAGGCGUUCGA
Molecule: ribosomal RNA, 141 nt
Filed under: Onobrychis arenaria subsp. arenaria
Lineage: Eukaryota; Viridiplantae; Streptophyta; Magnoliopsida; Fabales; Fabaceae
Description: partial 28S ribosomal RNA
Rfam family: Eukaryotic large subunit ribosomal RNA
Source: RNAcentral